Molecule: ribosomal RNA, 497 nt
Filed under: uncultured bacterium
Lineage: Bacteria
Description: partial 16S ribosomal RNA
Rfam family: Bacterial small subunit ribosomal RNA
Source: RNAcentral
GAUGAACGCUGGCGGCGUGCCUAAUACAUGCAAGUCGAGCGAACGGACGAGAAGCUUGCUUUUCUGAUGUUAGCGGCGGACGGGUGAGUAACGCGUGGAUAACCUACCUAUAAGACUGGGAUAACUUCGGGAAACCGGAGCUAAUACCGGAUAAUAUUUUGAACCGCAUGGUUCAAAAGUGAAAGACGGUCUUGCUGUCACUUAUAGAUGGAUCCGCGCUGCAUUAGCUAGUUGGUAAGGUAACGGCUUACCAAGGCAACGAUGCAUAGCCGACCUCAGAGGGUGAUCGGCCACAUUGGAACUGGAACACGGUCCAGACGCCUACGGGAGGCAGCAGUAGGGAACGUGACGCAGUGGGCGAAAGCCUGACGGAACAACGCCGCGUGAGUGAUGAAGGUCUUCGGAUCGUAAAACUCUGUUAUUAGGGAAGAACAUAUGUGUAAGUAACUGUGCACAUCUUGACGGUACCUAAUCAGAAAGCCACGGCUAACUACGUG